AUUGAACGCUGGCGGCAGGCUUAACACAUGCAAGUCGAGCGGGGUGAUGGUGCUUGCACUAUCACUUAGCGGCGGACGGGUGAGUAAUGCUUAGGAAUCUGCCUAUUAGUGGGGGACAACAUCUCGAAAGGGAUACUAAUACCGCAUACGUCCUACGGGAGAAAGCAGGGGAUCACUUGUGACCUUGCGCUAAUAGAUGAGCCUAAGUCGGAUUAGCUAGUUGGUGGGGUAAAGGCCUACCAAGGCGACGAUCUGUAGCGGGUCUGAGAGGAUGAUCCGCCACACUGGGACUGGGACACGGCCCAGACUCCUACGGGAGGCAGCAGUGGGGAAUAUUGGACAAUGGGGGGAGCCCUGAGCCAGCCAUGCCGCGUGUGUGAAGAAGGCCUUAUGGUUGUAAAGCACUUUAAGCGAGGAGGAGGCUCUUUUGGUUAAUACCCAAGAUGAGUGGACGUUACUCGCAGAAUAAGCACCGGCUAACUCUGUGCCAGCCGCCGCCGUAA
RNAcentral lists this ribosomal RNA (503 nucleotides) under uncultured bacterium. Its description in RNAcentral is "partial 16S ribosomal RNA". It matches the Rfam family "Bacterial small subunit ribosomal RNA", at positions 30 to 523 of the family's 1533-position model. The record is from RNAcentral.